AGAUAUCUUGAUUUUAGUGGGCAAUUUAUCACAAGAUUACAUGAAAGUUUGUGUGAAUUAUAUAAUUUGCACACUUUAGAUAUUUCUUGGAGUAGCGUAACUGAAUUACCUAGUGGCAUAGUAAAAUUAGUAAAUUUGAGGCAUUUAAAAAAUGAGACAUCGUCGUUGCUUUGCACACCAAAAGGGAUUGAGAAAUUAACAAGUCUCCAAACAUUAUCAGAAUUCGUUAUAAGCUGUGGUGGUGAUUAUGAUAGCAGAGCAUGUAGUCUUGAAGGAAUUAAAAAUUUGAAUAAUCUUGAAGGGAGCCUUCGAAUAAGAGGGUUGGGAAAUAUGACAAAUGUGAGUGAUGGUAAAAUAAAAGAAGUACUCAAGAAUAAGAAAUACCUUACCGGUUUGUAUCUGCAAUUCGAUAAGGGAACGGAAAGAGUUGGUUUCUUUAGGGAUAUGGUCUCCUGGAAAAUUGCUGAAGAAGGGGAAUCGUGUGAGGAUUAUGAAGUAGUCCUUGAAGCUUUACAACCACCUCCAGAAUUAGAGUGGUUGUCGAUUACAUACUACGCAGGCAGAACUUUCCCCUCCACUUGGAAGACGUCAUUAACCAAGAUGAAGAGUUUAAGUCUUGACUGUUGCCUAAACUGCAAGAAUUUGCAUACUUUGGGAGAAUUGUCAUCCCUUGAAGAACUAUCUAUAGAUAGCAUGAGAAAUGUGAAAAAAAUGGAUAAUGAAUUUUGGGGAAUUGAUAGUGGAGCCUCUUCAUCCUUUGCUUUCUUCCCCAAAUUGAAACAACUCAAAUUUUCGGGAUUAGACGAAUGGGAAGGGUGGACUUACGAGAGUACAAAGAAAGGAGAAGAAGAAGAAGAACAUAUUGGAUUCAUGCCAUGUCUUGCUACCUUGAGAAUCGGUUACUGCAACAGAUUAGAGGCACCGCCAAACAGCCUUCUGCAGAGGACAACACUCAAAAAAUUGGAGAUUAGUGGAUGUCCUAUUCUAGAAGAACGAUACAAAGAAGGAACAGGAGAAGACUGGUCCAAGAUCUCUCACAUCCCUACCAUCAAUAUUGGAAUAUAAAUGGGUCAAACGGAAGCAAUAAAUAUCAACCCACUAGCCACAGGCUUGGAAAAAAUUGACCCAAGUCUGGUAUUCACAGAUGCAAUGACUUUUCUGGUGCUACUCAUGUCUGAUAUGAGAAACCCCAGUCGUGCAGAGACCAAAUUUUACCUGGAUUACUAUAUAAAUAAAUGAAGUUGCGCAAAACCAGAUGGGCAGCCGAAAAACCCCCACCGUUCGCCGGAUUCCGGCCAUUUUGGGCCACCCUUGACCUCCCCUUGUGCCGGUUCAUCUUCCACCAUCAUCUCCACCGUAGAUAUAACGGAAUCGGGGGACGUUUGGGCUUCCUUCGUGCGACCUUUCAUCUUCCGGCGAAGGUUUGGCUUACAUAUUGUGAAUCUUCGGCUUCCAGGCGAGUUUUCGCUCACUUUCCGGUGUCAAUGCUAAUAAUAAUGAAUCAAUGUUACAAGUUAGAGUUUUUCCAAUGGGAAAAGGAAUUUAAUUUUCGAAGUGGCCAUAAUGCUUUUUGAUGUACAGGACAGAGAUAGCAGAAAGUGACCAACAGGAGAAGAGAGGAGGACUUGCUAUAACAUCUUUCAUUUCUGUUACCUUUGUGAGCUCUGUUUUUGAUUUUCUGCAUAAGGUCUCUGUUUUACCUUUGUGAGCUUUGAUGCAGUGACCAAGUUUAAUGUAUCCUAAAUAUUUUUGAAGAAAUCAAAAGACUAUAAGCAGAGAUAUGACAGGAGCUCUUAUCAUACUGGAGAAGAUUGACAGAGGCAAUUAGCCUUGAAAUAUAUAGCAUAACAUCUCCUUACUUCUUAAGGUUGCAACCUGUUCUUUUAAGUGGGGAGGGUGAUUAUGGGACCAACCACAGGAGGAAGGAGUUAUUCUAAAUGACUUUACUCAGAAAUGGAGAAUUAUCACUUGAAGUUGCUAGAAAGGAACAAUAUUGUGUUUCUGCCCCAAAGAUCAAAUUGAUUAGUUAUGCUUGGUAACUUCUCUCUUUUUUUUCUUCUUUGGUUUAUGUUUAAUCAAAAAUACUAUUACAGAGUAUCUAGCUUAUUAUCCUGUGUUUCUUCACACGCAGUUGAUUUGCUACUAAGGCUAUCUAUGCUGAUAAUAUAAUACUCUGUUACUGAUCAGCAGAGAAAAUACUCAAGAACUCAAUGUCUAGGUUUCACAUUUGCUUGGUGGGCUUCCUGAAAUUUACAUUUGCAUUUCCUUCAUGCUUUUUAUCUUUCUUGAAAAUAAAUUGCUACUGACGAUAGACACUAUCUUAUGAGCAUAUAUCAUUUUUUUCACCAAUGUUGCUGAAAAGAACUUGUGAUUAGGGAAUGGAUUUAUGCUUCACAUACAGAAUAUCUUUAAUCCUAUAUAAUAGUUUCUAUUUCGUGUCACAGUGUGGUUUUAGUAGUAAGUGGUCAUCCAAUGAUGCAUUUUGGUGACAAGUCCAGCAUCAUGGUAGGCAUGAGUAUGCCAGACAGCGAAAUCUAAUCAAAGAAACUUACGAGCUUGGUCUUGGUCAACCCUGAAAAUCAAUCUUGUUAUCUCCAAGAAUAUCCUGUGAUACAACCUGCACAAUGGAUAAAAUCCAUUUUUAUUUUCUCUUCUAGGAGAAUUCGGACACAACUCUAAUGUGUUUUGAGCAGUUUCCGCAUCAACAAAAAACAUUCACCAGCUCCGUCAUUAAUUUGUUCCAUCAAACAAGAUGCCCUUGUCCGCAGGCUAUGGAAUGUGCACAUUCAUCUUCAGGGUUAACCAUGGAAGAGCAGAAUUUCAACCUUUGGCUUUCCCUUGAUGACAAGCUUUCAUUCAUGCAAUGGAAUUUGGAGCUUCUUGUGUUCCAAUCAUGUCAGUAUACAACUCAACCAUAUCCUUCACCAUUUGAAGUGACAUUAAUCAAUUUACCAGUCAUGCUAACAAGACUCUACAAAGAAAUUCUGGGGAAAAGUUACCUGAAAGUUUGUGUGUUGCACACUUUAGAUAUUAGUGUGAAUGCUACAGGAAUUACCUCAGGACUGGAAAAAUGAGUUAAUUUGAGGCAUUUAUUAAAUGCCUCUGUAUCACUAACUUACAUUCCAAAAGAGAUUCAGAAAUUAAGUGUUUCUUGCCCUACAAUAGACGAGAGAAGAAGAAGUCAAUCUAAAUGAUUAGGAAAAGGAAUCAAAUUAAUUGAUGUGCUGCAAAAGCUGAUUAUGUGUGUAAUCUAAAUAUCUGUUACUGAUCAAGAGAGGAAAUAUACAUAAGGUCACAGAUUCUAGGAACAAAAUGAAAAUAAGCGAGAUGAAACCAGUGUCCAAUAUCUGGUUUGCACAUUUGCUUGACAUGGUUGCUACAAAGAACGUCUGAACAGUGUCUGCAUCAUGCCAGCUGAAAUGAGUGAGACAAAAAACAUUCAUCAGCUCCAUCAUUUGUUCCAGAUUAGGAAUAAACUGUGGAUAUUAUCUGUGUCUCCCAUUUCUGUGGCAACUUGUGGAGCAAUUAAAUUAGAUCCAUCUUCUUCAAAGUCCAUCAACGAAGAGUACAGAAUCAGCAUAGGCUUCACCACAUCAAGAUGCCUGAAAAAUGAUCUUCCGUUUUCAUUGUUAAGUUUUGUAGCUAACCAUGAAUUAAGUCUCCAAGAACAACAUUACAACCCUUGGCUUUCCCUUGAAAACAAAGCUUGCAAUGGAGUCUCGAGUUUCAUGUUCAACUAAACAAUAUCCUUCACCAUUUCGAAGUGCCUGAACAUUGAAGCAAGAUCAUAAGUAAUACCGUUUUCAAGUUUUAAUGAGUUGUUUGUUGGAUCCAUUUCCUUUUUCUUCAAUUGUCUGAUGGUUAAUAUGGUUAGUAAUGCAUUAUUGUUUGUCUCUCAGCUUUAACAGUUGAGGUGGAAAACAUUUGCAGACUACUGAAAAGCAUUUAAAACAGAGCAUCUUCCUGAAACUCAAUUAUGCAGCUUAAGGGAGUUUUGACCAUUCUCAUCAUUAUUUCAGAAAUGAUAGAUCAAACAAGUAUA
Pistacia vera is the source of this 4042-nucleotide long non-coding RNA. RefSeq lists it as uncharacterized. Lineage: Eukaryota; Viridiplantae; Streptophyta; Magnoliopsida; Sapindales; Anacardiaceae. The record is from RefSeq and is a predicted model, not a curated record. The transcript has 9 exons.